GUUUACACUCUGUGUGCUGCAUGUUUUGCAGUUGUGCAAAUCACUGGUUAACGAGUGUCCGUGGAGCUUAUAUGAGCAUAUUUAUCGCAGUCACAUGGGAAGCCUGGCUGGCAGAACAUGCAGCCUAGCAUCUGACUGCAGCCCAGCACGAUGAGACCUGCAGGGGGAGGAGAGCGGAGGAGAAGCUCCCGGGUGGGGGGUUGGGUGGGUGUCUGGAAUGUGGCUCCUGGCCUGUUCCUUUGUGUGUUUAGUGAAACAGGGAUGGGUGCCGGGCCCUGUGGGCUCCUCAGAUUGCCUCGUCCACCCAUCCCCCAUAAAGGCACACACACACACACACACACACACACACACACACACACACACA
This is a long non-coding RNA of Alosa alosa (allis shad), 364 nucleotides long. RefSeq lists it as uncharacterized. NCBI's taxonomy places the organism in Eukaryota, Metazoa, Chordata, Actinopteri, Clupeiformes, Clupeidae. The record is from RefSeq and is a predicted model, not a curated record. The transcript has 2 exons.